GGAUGCAAGGGCAAUCUGGCUGCAACAUGUUAUCCCAUUGCUCACCAGUGUUGAUUCAGCUGAUCUGGCUGGCUAGGUGAGUGUCCCCUUCCUGCCUCACUGCUCCAUGUGUGUCCCUCCCAAAGCUGUGCUCUCGGUUGAAGAGGAUGACGUUCCCCAAUAGAAGGAGGACCAUCCUUUGUUCAAGGGCAUGCGAGUAGCUGCGCUCCCAGCUAGAACCUCCAAACAAGUCUCAAGGGAAUGACUCAGAAUAUAGUUCUUUGGUCUGGACAGCUUCUUGGUCAUGUCCAAAGGCAGGCCUCUCGCUGAACCUGGACCUCUUCACAAGGCCUGUGCUUU
Molecule: small nuclear RNA, 339 nt
Filed under: Echinops telfairi (small Madagascar hedgehog)
Lineage: Eukaryota; Metazoa; Chordata; Mammalia; Afrosoricida; Tenrecidae
Description: 7SK RNA (ENSETEG00000024817.1)
Rfam family: 7SK RNA
About the family: 7SK was discovered as an abundant small nuclear RNA in the mid-70s but a possible function has only recently been suggested. Two independent studies have found that 7SK RNA binds the CDK9/cyclin T complex (known as elongation factor P-TEFb). P-TEFb activates transcription by phosphorylating the C-terminal domain of RNA polymerase II.
Source: RNAcentral